Molecule: unclassified non-coding RNA, 2350 nt
Filed under: Hevea brasiliensis (rubber tree)
Lineage: Eukaryota; Viridiplantae; Streptophyta; Magnoliopsida; Malpighiales; Euphorbiaceae
Source: RNAcentral
AAGAGGAAGUGAAAGAGAAUACUCAAUUUGUUCGUAAGAUCAAUGACAGUAAUGCUCAAAUGGACAAGGGAAGAGAAGUUGUGAACAGAGAACUGAAUUCUACAUUUGACACAACCUCAGAGACUUCCCAAGCAACAAAAGGGGACUAUGUUUUCUCAGGUCCAGCACCAGUCAUAGCAUCAAGUGGAUUUGCGUGGGCAAAAAGGCGGAAAGAAGAUGUUGCAUCAACAUUAUCUUAUAAUCAAGAUAUCUCAAUGAGUGAAAUUAGUGCAUUAUAUUCAUCAAGUUUCAACUUUGCGAACAGUUCCUUUAACUUGGCGAAAGAAGAAGAUGAAAGACAUGACUCUCAAGAGGCUACAGCCAAGCACGUGGUGCAGAAGCAGCGACGCCGUUUUGGUUCGUCUGAUUCUUUUGAUGCAUCCAAUUUAUACCAUUUUAAUGAUUCAAAGGCAACUGAUGAAGCAGAUGCUCUGACGAGUUAUCCAGUAAGGGUAAACCAUAACCACAAAAUUUAUCCCCGUUUAGCAAUGAUCUGGAAUAAAUUGUUUCCUGUUUUGCACUAUUUUAGAAGUUAUGGUAUUUGAGACUCACUUCCAUUUCUUACCUUGUUAGAAUUACUUGAAACGAAGAGAGAAUAUUGAAUUUUCUGGACCAUUGUUGUCCCAAUCAAAUAAAAUUGAUGAGCUCUUGCAAAGGAAUGAAAGUCAGAUACGCCAAGCAGCUCGCAGAUCAAGGUUGGAUAGAGAAAUGUGAGGCAUGAAUUCUCCAAGAAGGCAGUGCUCAUGCAAAUUACUAACUUGGGACGUAGUCGGCAGGUGGACUUGGCCUGUGCUUGGGUCUCAUGGUGCUUUCAACUUAUUGGAGAAAUUAAACAACAGCCUCUAGCUGACAUAUUGGUGGUACCUGCCUUCAGGUUUUGAGUUAUGUGUUCAUAUCUAUUGUAUUUAGGAUUAGGAACAAAAGUUUUUAAAUUUGUAUUGUAUAAUGGACAGAUCACAUAGGAAAACAAAAAUCAAUAUAGGAGAGAGUGACACAAAUUUUCAAACCCAACAAAAUCCAAGGGGGAAAAACAAAAGAACUACAACAAAUGAUGCUUGAUAUGAUACUCACUGUCUAAUUCUUUACUUGUAGCUGGCCUUUCUCCUCUUAUGCACAUUCUAGCAGUGAUGGUGGCAAAUAGUUAAUUGUAUGUCCCAACAGUGAUUUUUUUUUGACCCACAACAAGAUAAACUUUCACAAAUCAGAAGGGUUAAAACAUCAGUAUGGAUUAGAGGAGCAACAGAAUCAGGAGCCUCCUCAAUCCAUACAAACUCUAAAACAACACACCAACAAUAUUGAGCUAAAUUGUGAGCGACAAACUCUAGGGACAGAAGACCAUAAACAGCGUUGAAGAGAGGACCCAUACGCAAGACCAACAUCAUCAUGCAGCAGGGACUCCAAACUCAGCUUAUCAAAAACAGGCUUACAAUCAGUUUCAGCCACCACAUGGAAAAAACUCAGCUCAGCAGCUAACUUUAGUCCAAAACGAAUAGCCCUAGCCUCAGCAACCUCUACAGACCAGAUAGCAGCAGCACACUUCGCUGCACAUGCUAGAACAGCACCCAUAUCAUCACGAAAUACGACCCCAAAACCCACCAUUCCUUCAAAACGCAGACAAGCAUCAGAUCACAAUUCAUUUUAAGCAACCAAGGCUGGUGGAGUCCAACUCUCACUUCUCGCUGGGUGAGAAACUGAACCAGCAGAAGCACUAAUAUGUCCCACCAGUGAUUUCAUUUGAGUUAAUUAUAAAAAAAAUUUAAUAAAUGUAAAUUAAAAGAUACUUUGAUUUUUAUUAAUUCAAAAUCGAUAGUUUUACCGAUUUACAUCAAAGCCUUCAUCUCAGAAUAAAGUAAACAUUCCGGAGAGUGUAAAACUGGGUGCCUGGUUUUGCUAGGUGAGUCGGAGAUAACAUUCACAGCUGUAAUUAAACCAUUCAGUAAAUCAUCACGGAAGCAUAAUCAUAAGCAGUAAGAAAACGAUCUAAUACACAAGACUAAUGCCUCCAAGAAAAUUAUCUAUCACCAUUCAUCAAUAAACUCACAUCAAACCCAUCAUGUGCAUAACCGCCUGUGGUAACGGAUUAUGUUUAUAAUUUUCAUGAUAGUGUCAAUAUUAAAAAUGCUAUUAUGAGAACCAGUAUUGAAACAUCAGAUUUCGUUUCCCAUUUUCUUUCCAAAAAUUUCUCAAUAAUAAAGAAAAUUGACUGAUUCCAUAAAAACCAAAAACAGAAUUUAAAAACAAAUAUUGAAGAAGAAAAGGGAAAGAAUCAUAAUUUAUAAAUAUCUUCUUUAGAGAGAGAGAGAGAGAGAGA